UACGUAGGGUGCGAGCGUUGUCCGGAAUUAUUGGGCGUAAAGAGCUCGUAGGCGGUCUGUCGCGUCUGCUGUGAAAACUCAGGGCUUAACCCUGAGCUUGCAGUGGAUACGGGCAGACUAGAGUGCGGUAGGGGAGAGUGGAAUUCCUGGUGUAGCGGUGAAAUGCGCAGAUAUCAGGAGGAACACCGGUGGCGAAGGCGGGUCUCUGGGCCGUAACUGACGCUGAGGAGCGAAAGCAUGGGGAGCGAACAGG
This 253-nucleotide ribosomal RNA is filed under the name uncultured bacterium. RNAcentral describes it as "partial 16S ribosomal RNA". It matches the Rfam family "Bacterial small subunit ribosomal RNA", at positions 524 to 776 of the family's 1533-position model. The record is from RNAcentral.